This 825-nucleotide ribosomal RNA is filed under the name Burkholderia cenocepacia. Its description in RNAcentral is "bacterial LSU rRNA". It matches the Rfam family "Bacterial large subunit ribosomal RNA", at positions 2112 to 2925 of the family's 2925-position model. Lineage: Bacteria; Pseudomonadati; Pseudomonadota; Betaproteobacteria; Burkholderiales; Burkholderiaceae. The record is from RNAcentral.
UUGCAUUGGACUUUGAACCGAUCUGUGUAGGAUAGGUGGGAGGCUAUGAAACCGGAACGCUAGUUUCGGUGGAGCCGUCCUUGAAAUACCACCCUGGUUUGUUUGAGGUUCUAACCUUGGCCCGUGAUCCGGGUCGGGGACAGUGCAUGGUAGGCAGUUUGACUGGGGCGGUCUCCUCCCAAAGCGUAACGGAGGAGUACGAAGGUACGCUAGGUACGGUCGGAAAUCGUGCUGAUAGUGCAAUGGCAUAAGCGUGCUUAACUGCGAGACCGACAAGUCGAGCAGGUGCGAAAGCAGGUCAUAGUGAUCCGGUGGUUCUGUAUGGAAGGGCCAUCGCUCAACGGAUAAAAGGUACUCUGGGGAUAACAGGCUGAUACCGCCCAAGAGUUCAUAUCGACGGCGGUGUUUGGCACCUCGAUGUCGGCUCAUCUCAUCCUGGGGCUGUAGCCGGUCCCAAGGGUAUGGCUGUUCGCCAUUUAAAGAGGUACGUGAGCUGGGUUUAAAACGUCGUGAGACAGUUUGGUCCCUAUCUGCCGUGGGCGUUGGAUAUUUGAAGGGGGCUGCUCCUAGUACGAGAGGACCGGAGUGGACGAACCUCUGGUGUACCGGUUGUCACGCCAGUGGCAUCGCCGGGUAGCUAUGUUCGGAAGAGAUAACCGCUGAAAGCAUCUAAGCGGGAAACUCGCCUUAAGAUGAGAUAUCCCUGGGGACUAGAUCCCCUUGAAGGGUCGUUCGAGACCAGGACGUUGAUAGGUCAGGUGUGUAAGCGCAGUAAUGCGUUCAGCUAACUGAUACUAAUUGCCCGUAAGGCUUGAUCCUAUAACA